CAAUAGCGUAUAUUAACGUUGUUGCAGUUAAAAAGCUCGUAGUUGGAUUUCUGGAGGGAGCGUCGGCCCGUAUUUACGAGUGCGUGACGUCUCUGUCCAUCCUUGCGGGAAGGCACGGCAUUGAUUUGUUGUGUCGGAUCGCAUCAUUUACUGUGAAAAAAUUACAGUGUUCAAAGCAGGCUUUCGCUUGAAUACAUUAGCAUGGAAUAAUAAGAUAGGACUUUGGUGCUAUUUUGUUGGUUGAGCCUAAAGUAAUGAUUAAUAGGGAUAGUUGGGGGCACCUGUAUUGCGUUGUCAGAGGUGAAAUUCUUGGAUUUACGCAAGACAAACAGCUGCGAAAGCGUCUGCCAAGGAUGUUUUCAUUAA
Molecule: ribosomal RNA, 366 nt
Filed under: uncultured eukaryote
Lineage: Eukaryota
Description: partial 18S ribosomal RNA
Rfam family: Eukaryotic small subunit ribosomal RNA
Source: RNAcentral